Molecule: non-coding RNA, 3150 nt
Organism: Doryrhamphus excisus (bluestripe pipefish)
Lineage: Eukaryota; Metazoa; Chordata; Actinopteri; Syngnathiformes; Syngnathidae
Source: RefSeq, a predicted model, not a curated record
GUAGCUUACCAGGAUUGACUACAGCAUUAGCAACGCUAACGUUAGCUAGCGUUGGCAGCGGCCUAGCUAGUAAAGCUAGCUUAUAAACACAUCAACACAGGAAAGAUUAUCAACACAUCAGUAAAACAUACGUUUCCCGUGGCCUGGUGGUUGGGGAAGCCUGCCAUGCUUGGAGCUAUGAUGUGCUCUUCUACGCUGGAAAAUACCGAAGCUCCGGGAGACGUCUUUGUCGGUGUCAGUGAACUCACCGUGCAGACAGUCGCCCGAUCCUGUGAGGCUCUGAGGCUGGGCCACCUCCAAACCCAGAAGAGACGGAGAAGACGAGGGCGACGAGGACGACGAGCCGGGCGGAGACGAGGGCGGCAGGCACUGGGAGCUCUGGUUGGGCACGGCCGACUGGGAGCUCUGGGAGGGGAUCUGGGCCGAACUGGAGCUGUUGUUGUUGUGCAUGUUGCCCAUUCCGUUUUCGGUCAGGAACUCCUCCAAGUCCAUGUACUGCAGCUGGAAAAGGCCCCCGUCGGCCGCCACGGUGCGAUCCCACAAGAGAGGCCCCAGGAACUGGUUGAAAUUCCCGCUUCCGCUAGCACCGUUGCAGCCCCCGCUGCCGUUUAUUCCGGCUGCGUUCCUCAUGGGGCACACCCCCAAGGAAUCCUCAUCCAGGUCCAUAGCUCGCUCCUUGUCUGAUCAAAAGAAGGGGACACAACUCUUAGUAAAAAUGACACGCGUUUCUCAACUCCUAUUUCCACACAUCUCCAAACAUCUCAGCCAACGGUGCCUCUGCUGGUUGCAGCCAGUACUGCAGCAUCCAUCAGCCUCAGUAUGGAAUGGAAUGGCCUUUAUUAGCGGCCACGCAAAACCACACCCUUGUCAAACUUUCUACACCACCUGAAAAAGUAUUCUGCUUUGCAAGGACCGCCCCUUCUUUGCUAGCUGGGUUUAGCUUCCAGCGCCUUUCUCCAAAGGAAAAUGCCACUUGGCUUUCUUUCAUCUGGUAUUCCUGCCUACCAGCAAAGCUGUAGAUGAUUGUGGAAGAGCUAACCCCAAACGGACCCUGUUUUCUGGAAAUUUAUUGUCACACAUUUUCUGGAAAAUUGGCCAUAUUAUCGGGAAAUUUAUUGUCACACUUUCUGGAAAAUGGCCCAAUUUUUGGGGAAAUGUAAUGCCCUUAUUUUCUGGAAAAUGGCCCCAUUUUUUGGAAAUUGAAUGCCCCUUCUUUUCUGGAAAAUUGCCCAUAUUUUUUGGGAAAUGUAAUGCCCUUAUUUUCUGGAAAAUUGCCCCAUUUUUUGGAAAUUGAAUGCCCCUUAUUUUCUGGAAAAUUGCCCAUAUUUUCUGGAAAAUUGCCCAUAUUUUCUGGAAAUGUAUUGUCCCUUAUUUUCUGGAAAAUGUCCCCUAUUUUCUGGAAAUGUAAUGUCCCUUAUUUUCUGGAAAAUGCCCCCUAUUUUCUGGAAAUGUAUUGUCCCUUAUUUUCUGGAAAACGUCCCCUAUUUUCUGGAAAUGUAAUGUCCCUUAUUUUCUGGAAAAUGUCCCCACGUUUUCUGGAAAUUUAAUGUCCCUUAUUUUCUGGAAAAUGCCCCCUAUUUUCUGGAAAUGUAUUGUCCCUUAUUUUCGGGAAAAUGUCCCCUGUUUUCUGGAAAUUGAAUGUCCCUUAUUUUCUGGAAAAUGCCCCCUAUUUUCUGGAAAUGUAUUGUCCCUUAUUUUCGGGAAAAUGUCCCCUGUUUUCUGGAAAUUGAAUGUCCCUUAUUUUCUGGAAAAUGCCCCCUAUUUUCUGGAAAUGUAUUGUCCCUUAUUUUCUGGAAAACGUCCCCUAUUUUCUGGAAAUGUAAUGUCCCUUAUUUUCUGGAAAAUGUCCCCCGUUUUCUGGAAAUUUAAUGUCCCUUAUUUUCUGGAAAAUGCCCCCUAUUUUCUGGAAAUGUAUUGUCCCUUAUUUUCUGGAAAACGUCCCCUAUUUUCUGGAAAUGUAAUGUCCCUUAUUUUCUGGAAAAUGUCCCCCGUUUUCUGGAAAUUUAAUGUCCCUUAUUUUCUGGAAAAUGUCCCCAAUUUUCUGGAAAUCUGAUGUCCCUUAUUUUCUGAAAAAUGUCUCCUAUUUUCUGGAAAUUUAAAGUCCUUCACUUUCUGGAAAAUGCCCUGUUUUCUGAAAAUUUAAUGUCCCUUACUUUCUGGAAAAUUACCCCUAUUUUCUAGAAAUGGAAUAUCCCUUAUUUUCUGGAAAUGUAAUGUCCUUCGCUUUCUGAGAAAUGCCCCCUGUUUUCUGAAUAAUUAAUGUCACUUAUUUUCACGAAAACGUCCCUUAUUUUCUAGAAUUGUAAAGUCUGCUAUUUUCUGGAAAAUUCACCUAAUAUUUUAUAAAAUGCCCCCUAUUUUUUGGAAACGUAACGUCCCUCAUUUUCUGGAGAAUGCCCCCUAUUUUCUUGCAAUUUAAUGUCACUUAUUUCGUGGAAAAUAUGCCUUAUAUUUUGAAAAAUGUCCCGCAUUUUCUGGAAAAUUAAUAUAUGCCUUGUUUUCCGGAAAAUAUGGCUUAUAUUCUGAAAAAUGUCCCUUAUUUUCUGGAAAAUAGUAUGUAUAUUAUGGAAAAUGGCAUAUUAUUUUCUGGAAAAUGUAAUGUCCCUCAUUUUCUGGAAAAAAAAAAGGCCCUUAUUUUGAAAUGCACAGGAUGACAGGUGUGAUCCUGAAGCGGAUGGAAAGCUGGCGAUGAUAGCUUAGUCCCGAGUGUUUCCAUGAGAAAGAGAAAAAAAAAAGACGUCUCUCGCUCACAGAUGGAGCAGAUGGCGAGUGAGUUGCAGAAUUAGCAGAACCAGAACCCAUGAAUGUGUGCUAGCAUCUGACAUACAUAACGUGCUAAUAAUAAUAAUAAUAAUACAAUACAAUGUGUUUGCAUUGUCUGAUUGCAGAGGGAUUAUAAUCCAAGGUCGGGGUCACGGGGGGGUCACGGCUCAUGAUGUGUGAUUGGUUGUGUGUCGCUGUGAUUAUCAUUUCAUGCACGCUCACAUCGGCCCACCUUUGAUAUCACAGGGGCUCCUCAGCCUCUGGUCCCCCUUCAUGGGGUGCUGCAGGAGGGACUUGAGCCCCGCCAUGGAGCCGAGGUGCCCCCCUGUGAGAGUGCCGGCGGGCUGGGUGCAAGUUCCAAACUGGGGGCUGGCGCCGGCAGGCAAG